AGGACGAACGCUGGCGGCGUGCUUAACACAUGCAAGUCGAGCGGUGAUCCUCCUUCGGGAGGUGAUCAGCGGCGAACGGGUGAGUAACACGUGGGCAACCUGCCCCUCACACUGGGAUAACCUCGGGAAACCGGGGCUAAUACCGGAUACGACCUCGAGCGGCAUCUCUUGAGGUGGAAAGCUCCGACGGUGAGGGAUGGGCCCGCGGCCUAUCAGCUUGUUGGUGGGGUAAUGGCCUACCAAGGCGACGACGGGUAGCCGGCCUGAGAGGGCGACCGGCCACGACUGGGACUGGAGACACGGCCCAGACUCCUACGGGAGGCAGCAGUGGGGAAUAUUGCGCAAUGGGCGAAAGCCUGACGCAGCGACGCCGCGUGAGGGAUGAAGGCCUUCUGGGUUGUAAACCACUUUCAGCAGGGACGAUUGUGACGGUACCUGCAGAAGAAGCCCCGGCAACUACGUGCCAGCAGCCGC
This 474-nucleotide ribosomal RNA is filed under the name uncultured bacterium. RNAcentral describes it as "SSU rRNA". It matches the Rfam family "Bacterial small subunit ribosomal RNA", at positions 26 to 518 of the family's 1533-position model. The record is from RNAcentral.